UAGACAAGACGGCAGCGGUAGUUUUUGAAACUAACGAGGAAAGUCCGAGCUCCAAAGGGCAGGAUAGCUGCUAACGGCAGCCGAAGGCAACUUUAGGGAAAGUGCAACAGAGAUAUACCGCCGCAAAAGCGGUAAGGGUGGAAAGGCGAGGUAAGAGCUCACCAAUCGGCAGGAGACUGACCGAUUCUGUAAACCCUAUUCGGAGCAACGCCUCAUGGAAGUGAAGAGGAAUGCGUCGGCCCGGCGUACUUCAUGAGGGGCGGCUUGAUUCCGUCGGCGACGGCGGAACUAGAUAGAUUGUCGUCAAAUACAGAACUCGGCUUAUAUGUCUGGCC
This 335-nucleotide RNase P RNA is filed under the name bovine gut metagenome. Its description in RNAcentral is "Bacterial RNase P class A". It matches the Rfam family "Bacterial RNase P class A". Rfam says of the family: Ribonuclease P (RNase P) is a ubiquitous endoribonuclease, found in archaea, bacteria and eukarya as well as chloroplasts and mitochondria. Its best characterised activity is the generation of mature 5'-ends of tRNAs by cleaving the 5'-leader elements of precursor-tRNAs. The record is from RNAcentral.